Molecule: ribosomal RNA, 2553 nt
Filed under: Acinetobacter baumannii
Lineage: Bacteria; Pseudomonadati; Pseudomonadota; Gammaproteobacteria; Moraxellales; Moraxellaceae
Description: bacterial LSU rRNA
Rfam family: Bacterial large subunit ribosomal RNA
Source: RNAcentral
UCAAGUAAUUAAGUGCAUGUGGUGGAUGCCUUAGAGGCGAUGAAAGACGUGAUAGCCUGCGAAAAGCUCCGGGGAGGCGGCAAAUGAUCCGGAGAUUUCUGAAUGGGGGAACCCACCUACUUUAAGGUAGGUAUUGCAUACAUAGUGUUGCAAGGCGAACGAGGGGAAGUGAAACAUCUCAGUACCCUUAGAAUCAAUUGAGAUUCCCUCAGUAGCGGCGAGCGAACGGGGAUCAGCCCAUUAAGUGUUUUAGUGGAACGCUCUGGGAAGUGCGAACGUAGAGGGUGAUAUUCCCGUAGGGCACACAUAAUGAUGACGAGUAGGGCGAGGCACGUGAAACCUUGUCUGAAGGACCAUCCUCCAAGGCUAAAUACUCCUGACUGACCGAUAGUGAACCAGUACCAAAGGCGAAAAGAACCCCUGUGAGGGGAGUGAAAUAGAUCCUGAAACCGCAUGGCAGUGGGAGCCGACUUGUUCGGUGACUGCGUACCUUUUGUAUAAUGGGUCAGUAUUCAGUAGCGAGGUUAACCGUAUAGGGGAGCCGUAGAGAAAUCGAGUCUUAGUUUAGUUGCUGGGUAUAGACCCGAAACCAGGCGAUCUAUCCAUGAGCAGGUUGGGUAACACUAACUGGAGGACCGAACCCACUGUCGUUGAAAAGCCAGGGGAUGGAUAGGGGUGAAAGGCUAAUCAAGCCUGGUGAUAGCUGGUUCUCCCCGAAAGCGUAGCGCCUCGGACGAAUACCAUAGGGGGUAGAGCACUGUUUCGGCUAGGGGGGACUUACCAAACCGAUGCAAACUCCGAAUACCUAUGAGUACUAUCCGGGAGACGGGUGCUAACGUCCGUAGUCAAGAGGAAAACAAUCCAGACCGCCAGCUAAGGCUCAUAGUUAAGUGGGAAACGAUGUGGGAAGGCAUAGACAGCUAGGAGGUUGGCCAGCCACCCUUUAAAGAAAGCGUAAUAGCUCACUAGUCGAGUCGGCCUGCGCGUAACGGGGCUAAAACUAUGUGCCGAAGCUGCGGAUUUGACAUUAGUCAAGUGGGCGUUCUGUAAGCCGAUGAAGGUGUAUUGAGAAGUAUGCUGGAGGUAUCAGAAUGCUGACGUGAGUAACGACAAAACGGGUGAAAAACCCGUUCGCCGAAAGACCACAGUCCAACGUUAAUCGGGGCUGGGUGAGUCGACCCCUAAGGCGAGGCCGAAAUCGAUGGGAAAUUGGUUAAUAUUCCAAUACUUCUGUGUAAUGCGAUGAGAGGAGGUUAAGUCAGCCUGGCGUUGGUUGUCCAGGUGGAAGGAUGUAGGUAUGUAUCAAUCCGGGGUACUCUAUACUGAGAUCCGAUAGCAAGCUGUACUUGUACAGUGAGAUACCAUGCUUCCAGGAAAAGUCUCUAAGCUUCAGUUACACAGGAAUCGUACCGACACAGGUGGUCAGGUCGAGUAGACCAAGGCGCUUGAGAGAACUCUGCUGAAGGCAAAAUGGUACCGUAACUUCGGGAGAAGGUACGCUGUUGUUGGUGAUGGAUCCUGAGCUGAUGACAGCCGCAGAAACCAGGCCGCUGCAACUGUUUAUUAAAAACUCUGCAAACACGAAAGUGGACGUAUAGGGUGUGAUGCCUGCCCGGUGCUGGAUUGAUGGGGUUAGCGUAAGCGAAGCUCUUGAUCGAAGCCCCAGUAAACGGCGCUAUAACGGUCCUAAGGUAGCGAAAUUCCUUGUCGGGUAAGUUCCGACCUGCACAUAAUGAUGGCGGCGCUGUCUCCAGCAGAGGCUCAGUGAAAUCGAAAUCGCUUGCAGUGUACCCGCGGCUAGACGGAAAGACCCCGUGAACCUUUACUGCAGCUUAACUUUGACCUUACUUGUGUAGGAUAGGUGGGAGGCUUUGAAGUUGGAACGCUAUGGAGCCGUCCUUGAAAUACCACCCUGGUAAUGUUGAGGUUCUAACUCUGUCCCGGGACGAGGACCGUGUCUGGUGGGUAGUUUGACUGGGGCGGUCUCCUCCUAACGGAGGAGUACGAAGGUGCGCUCAGCGUGGUCGGAAAUCACGCGUAGAGUAUAAAGCGCGCUUAACUGCGAGACCCACAAGUCGAGCAGGUACGAAAGUAGGUCUCCGGUGGUUCUGUAUGGAAGGGCCAUCGCUCAACGGAUAAAAGGUACUCUGGGGGCUGAUACCGCCCAAGAGUUCAUAUCGACGGCGGUGUUUGGCACCUCGAUGUUCUCAUCCUGGGGCUGAAGCAGGUCCCAAGGGUAUGGCUGUUCGCCAUUUAAAGCGAGCUGGGUUUAGAACGUCGUGAGACAGUUCGGUCCCUAUCUACCGUGGGCAUUUGAGAGGAUCUGCUCCUAGUACGAGAGGACCAGAGUGGACGAACCUCUGGGUUGUGACGCCAGUCGCAUCGCCGGGUAGCUAUGUUCGGAAGGGAUAACCGCUUCUAAGCGGGAAGCCUACCUCAAGAUAAGAUUUCCCUAGGAAUUUAUUCCUCUCGUUCGAGACUAGGACGUUGAUAGGUUGGAUGUGGAAGCAUAGUGAUAUGUGACAAUACUAAUUGCUCGUGAGGCUUGACUAU